Long non-coding RNA from Vespa mandarinia (Asian giant hornet), 4462 nucleotides. The record is from RefSeq and is a predicted model, not a curated record. Lineage: Eukaryota; Metazoa; Arthropoda; Insecta; Hymenoptera; Vespidae.
UGUACUUGUUUUAUGAUUGUCUUAUAGCUACAUCUAUUUAACAAUCAAGUUACGCUGGUCACUACUAGUUUCGCUAGUAGCGACACGUAGAACUAAUAUAUAGUGCGUAAAUCAGAGUCAGAGUCAGUCGUGAUGCGACAGCCGGAUGAAGCAGUUUUGUAUUAGCCCUUAUACUUUUCAUUAUAUUUUAUAUAUUAAUUCUUUCUUAAUAAAAGUCUAACAAAUUUUUUAAAUUGCGAUGUCAAAACAAGAAGUUACACUCGUGUUUAGAAGAUCUAAUAAUUUUAUGGCAAUACAGUUCGGUAUAUAAUAUAUAUAAAUGACAUAAACGCGGUUAGAACAAUGUAAUUACUACUUGAGUUGUUAGAAUAUUGGAAAGUGAAUUGUGUGGUAUAUUGAUAGUCCGUUAAUCAUAAAAAGAGCGUCGAUAUUUGAAAAAUACUGGUUAAACAUUUAUGAAUAUGAGGAGUAAAGAAGAUGAUGAAGCAACAUUCAAGGAACUUUGACACACCAAGGAGAGAGGAAAAUAAACAAAUUAGAUCUACGUACGAAUAGCAAUAGACAUAAUUAAUAUUAAACUACAAAGACAAUCGAUAUGAAAUCAACGUAAGAUGUGUAGGGACAAAAACUGAAAGAGAGUACACAAGUAUGGCCGGAAUUGAAAGAAGCUUCUGAAUAUGGAGAGUAAAAGAAUAUUCCGCGGAUACAUUGAGCAGAAAGAAAUGUAAACAAAUUAAAUCUAUAAAAAAGUAACUGAACUCAAUAACAUUAAAGGACAACGAUGUUCAAUAGAAACGCAGUGUUAGUAAAAAAAGUAAUGACAAAGAUAAAGAUACGACCAAUAACAACGGAGAGAAUAAUACUGAAAACGCAGUUGAGGCACAAAAUUUUUAAGAAAUAAAAAAAUAUUGUGCGAAUUCAAUUGGAUUAAAGUAGAUCUCGAUCUGAAGCGAUUAAUUGAAAAUUAGGACGAAUAUACGAUUUCUGUAUGAGAGGCCUGAUCCUCAGCACUGAAUCCUUAUGAUACAGCACUGAAUCCUUAUGAAUUUGUCGAAUAUGGAAAAGUGACAAUACAGUGAUGCUAUAAUAUCCUCCUGAGUCCAAGAUUAUUUGCGUAAAGGCACACAAGAAAAAUAAGAUAUGUAUAAGAGUAUUAUUAUAAGUUACAUGCUCGCAAAAAAGCAGGCAAGGAAACGAAUGAAUAGAUUGUAAAUAGUGACAAAAAACAUACAAUUCCAAAACUAUUUUUAACCUCUAACAAGUUACUAUGCGAGUACAAUGAUUUCAUAAUAAAAAGCGUAACAUCCAUAAAAUAGGACUGAUAUAUCAAGAACGUGUUUAAAAUAUAAAGGUCAUAUAGUUAGUAAGUCCACAAAACCGAAGAGUAAUGUACGUUUUUAAUAUAAUCAAAUAUGUCAUUAUGUGAAUGUUUGUAUAGAGGGAAUAGACGUAUCUAGAAGAAAAUUUCGAAAAGUUAAUAAGAUUCGAAUACGGCAAAUAAGAUAUUAAUAAGAAAAUCUGAGUACAAACCAAAUAAUAACAAUCAAUCUCUAGAUAUUUACUAACAACUGAUGAUAAAAGCAUGAUGAUCAUACCUUUAUUAAAUAUUAACAGCGAAGAUUUCAUGAUCCACGAAGAGACAGUCAUUAAUCGGGGAUGACCAAUAAUACUUAAUGAGAAAUGAAAAGUUAACAAAGAACUCAUUACAUUGAGAGAUAGAUUCGAUAUCCACAUUACAUUAUGAAGUAUUUUACAUCAGGAAUGAUAACAAGAGCAGGAAAAAAUACGACAACUGAUGGAAGCUGACAUAACCGAACAGAAUGAUUCUCCAUUUUUCAAUCCUAUGAUGGUCAAUAAAAAGAUGGGCGACAUAUAAGUGUCUAUAAACUACUAGACGGUAACUCGUAAAAUUGUUAAACAACUCUUGGGAAGAAGUAGAAAAUCAAUUGGACAGACUGUGAGAUAUCAAGUAUUAUACUAUACUUUAUUUAAAUAUCUAAUGAUUAUCAUGUGUCGACAUCAGAAGCUAUAUUGAAUGUACCGAGGAGUAAGAAAAGUAAGCAAUACAAAUCUAAGAACGAACAACAAACGUCAAUAAUAUUACAAGAUAACGAUCGACAAUACGAAGGUUGAAUUGAUGAGAAAGGAGCAGCAAAGAAACAGACAUAAUCAACAACAAAAGAGACACAAUAUUGAAAGAAAAUAAGUAUGAAAGGCAGUAAAAUCAUGACCUUUUAGAGAAAUAAAUAUUAUCAUAUUAACUUAGUGUUAAUAAAAAAAUCUGAGGAGAAACGAACUUACUACAAAUAAUCCCAAAUAGUUAGUAACAAUGAACGAUUAAGGCAUGUGGAUUGUACUUAAUAGACUAUUAUUGGCGGAUAUGUUGUAAUCAACGAAGAGAUUCAUUACGCAAAGAGAUAUGAUAAUUUUUAACAGGAAUAAUGCAAAGAAGUUAUACCGAUAGAACAGAGAUGAAUGUAACACUGAUGUAUUUGACAUCCUUAUACAAUCAAUCAUAUAAAGUAUUACAUCAAAAACUGCAACAAUAGCAGCAAAUAAUGCAGCAACUUAUGAAAGUCUACAUCAUCAAAAACAGUAAUUAACUGUCUUUCUCGCAUAUUCGUGAUAAUACCGCAAAUUCUUGGUAGCACUGAAUUUAAUUUCAUAGAAAUUUGGAACUAUAUUUAUUCAAAAUUCUGAUUGUGAUUUUUGUGUGACUUUUAUGUGACAUUUGUCGUCUAAUCGAUAAAUCGCCGGAAUUCACGAAAUCGUAUACUCCUCUUCGUAAACAAAUUUUGAACUCAUACUGUCGUAUUCGUAAAGCUAAGCAGGCUGUCCGUAUCCUUCUUUAUUUUGACCGUCUACAAAAUUUUCUUUUCUCUCCUCGGACUGUACUUCAUGUUACUCGUAUAUUUACGACCUUUCCUCCUGUCAUUCGUUUGAAACCGUGUGAUCUAUUUCAAAAGUAAAAUUUCCCCAUGAUUUUUAAUGGACAAUCCGAUAGAUUCUAAAGUGCCGAUAAAAAAAACUUUCUUCUUGAUUAACCAAUAAUAUUUGGAUUUUAACUGGAGAAUUACAAACACGUACUAAGACUGUUAUAUUAAUAAUUGAACAAUUAUUAUCAAUUAUUAUCAUUAAUAAUUUUCAUUUAUACUAAAUGUAUACAUUCUGAAACAUGUACGUUUGAUAGCACUAAAUUUAAUUAGAUUAAUUUGUACAUUCAUGCAAAUUAAAAAUUCCGAUUGUGAGUUUUUAUGUGACUUUUAUCCGACGUUUGUUGUCUAUUCAAGAAAUCAUGAGAAUUCACGAAAUCAAAUAAACCUCUUCGUGACCAAAUUUCGAAUUCGAGCUGCCUGAUUUGUAGGGAAUCUCGUUAUCCAUGGUGUAUUUCAUAUGCUAUCAUUUCUGUCAACGAUUUAUUCUAAUUAUCGUAGUAAAUUUACUCGUUCUACGUCAUACAUUAUAUGACCAAAAUCCAUAUAUUUGCCAAUAAAUCCAUACAUAUUGAGUUUUAAAAAAUUGCGUUUCUAUAUUUCAUAUGCGGAUCAUUUAUUAGAUUUACGAAAUGAUGAGCUUAUUCAAACGUACCAAUAAAUGUUGUAGUGUAAUAGUUUGAAGUCAACAGUUUUAAAUCUUUUUUAAUUUUCAUUAUUUUAUCCAAGCUAAUCUCAAAGCUUACCAGGAUUUCCAAUUGAUUCCGAUACGCCGCUACUUGUCUUAUAUCUCCUUUCUUCUCCUUUUCAUAUCUAGUCGACCAUUUUCCAGUCAUGAUUCGGAAGGAGGAUAAAUCCUGAUAAAGUCGGCUUGUUAUCAUAAAAAAUAGAAAAAACCAACUACUACUUACAACUAUAACGUAAGGCACAUUACGUAGCAUAAGGGGUAUAAUCUGAAGCCAUACUCUCAAUGCUGCUACAUUUUGAAACCUUAUUUCUCACAGACAACGAUAUAAAAAACAUCUUAGUAUAUUUUCCAAAAUCAAAAUGAGGAAACAAUAUUAUUAAUUGUUAAUUAUGUAAGGAAAGAAUUUGCACUGAUUUAUUUUUACAAUUUUUAAAUCACUUAUAUGUAUAUAUAACAAUAUUGUAUAUUUAUUUUAUUGAAUCAAAUUGCAUAUUAUGGAAAUGUCGAUUUUUAAAAACACAAAAAAAAUCUCUUCAUGGAAGGAAAUCACAUGAGGUUUCAAAGCAGGCCUCGAGAGGAUACCCACAAGGAUCGAUCCUCGGCCCUUCCUGCUGGAAUUUCAUGUUCGACCAGCUCCUUAGGAUCCUGGAAAAAUCCUCGGAAGUCAACGCGAUCGCGUACACGGACGACCUACUCGUCAUCGUAGAUGGAGACUCCAGAAGACUCGAAGAGAAAGGAAAUCGCAUGGUUAACAUCAUCACCGGAUGGUGCACGUCGGCGAAAUUGACAAUCUCCAAGGGUAAGACAGAAGCGAUCGUCCUUAAGAGCAAUUGGAUAAAAA